GAGUUUGAUCAUGGCUCAGGACGAACGCUGGCGGCGUGCCUAAUACAUGCAAGUCGAACGCUUCCUACCGGUGCUUGCACCGGGAAAGAAGAGUGGCGGACGGGUGAGUAACACGUGGGUAACCUACCUACAAGCGGGGGAUAACAUUCGGAAACGGAUGCUAAUACCGCAUAAAUCUUUUUGUCUCCUGACAGAAAGAAGAAAGACGGUUUCGGCUGUCACUUGUAGAUGGACCCGCGGCGCAUUAGUUAGUUGGUGAGGUAAUGGCUCACCAAGACGAUGAUGCGUAGCCGACCUGAGAGGGUGAUCGGCCACACUGGGACUGAGACACGGCCCAGACUCCUACGGGAGGCAGCAGUAGGGAAUCUUCCGCAAUGGACGAAAGUCUGACGGAGCAACGCCGCGUGAGUGAAGAAGGUUUUCGGAUCGUAAAACUCUGUUGUUAGAGAAGAACAAGGAUGAGAGUAACUGCUCGUCCCUUGACGGUAUCUAACCAGAAAGCCAUGGCUAACUACGUGCCAGCAGCCGCGGUAAUACGUAGAUGGCAAGCGUUGUCCGGAUUUAUUGGGCGUAAAGCGAGCGCAGGCGGUUCUUUAAGUCUGAUGUGAAAGCCCCUGGCUCAACCAGGGAGGGUCAUUGGAAACUGGAGAACUUGAGUGCAGAAGAGGAAAGUGGAAUUCCAUGUGUAGCGGUGAAAUGCGUAGAUAUAUGGAGGAACACCAGUGGCGAAGGCGACUUUCUGGUCUGUAACUGACGCUGAGCUCGAAAGCAUGGGGAGCAAACAGGAUUAGAUACCCUGGUAGUCCAUGCCGUAAACGAUGAGUGCUAAGUGUUGGAGGGUUUCCGCCCUUCAGUGCUGCAGCUAACGCAUUAAGCACUCCGCCUGGGGAGUACGACCGCAAG
Molecule: ribosomal RNA, 903 nt
Filed under: uncultured bacterium
Lineage: Bacteria
Description: bacterial SSU rRNA
Rfam family: Bacterial small subunit ribosomal RNA
Source: RNAcentral